RNAcentral lists this ribosomal RNA (253 nucleotides) under uncultured bacterium. RNAcentral's name for it is "partial 16S ribosomal RNA". It matches the Rfam family "Bacterial small subunit ribosomal RNA", at positions 524 to 776 of the family's 1533-position model. The record is from RNAcentral.
UACGUAGGGUGCGAGCGUUGUCCGGAAUUACUGGGCGUAAAGAGCUUGUAGGUGGUUUGUCGCGUUGUUCGUGAAAUCUCACGGCUUAACUGUGAGCGUGCGGGCGAUACGGGCAGACUGGAGUACUGCAGGGGAGACUGGAAUUCCUGGUGUAGCGGUGGAAUGCGCAGAUAUCAGGAGGAACACCGGUGGCGAAGGCGGGUCUCUGGGCAGUAACUGACGCUGAGGAGCGAAAGCGUGGGGGGCGAACAGG